UUUUCUGAUUUCUUCUACUACUUCUUGUUCACAAUACUGUCUCAGUUACACUUUAGUUACUUGUCAACAUUACCUCUCCCCAACACCUCCUUUGACUAGAUUGAAAAGCCUGAUUAUGAGCUCGCUUAGUCUGGGUUUACAUCACUGUAAUUCCAUAUGGCAAAGCUGUAACUAUAGAUGUCCAAGGCAAUCGUGUUUUUUGCCUCUUUUCCCUGGAGUUAACUGGUACAAGUCAGGUGUCCAGAUUUCCAUUGUCUCCAUGAGUCCUUGCCUGUAUGUGCUGAUGUAUUUAUUUACCAAGAGAGGCUUUUGUCUCCCUGCCUUGUUCACUGCACCAUGUAAAAGGCUUCAUGUUCUGUCAUAUUAAAAUAAAUACCCUUAUACCUAAAGAAGGAAAAGAAAUUCCUGCAUAAUUGUUUUCAAAAGCUUGUUGAGGAGGAGGCUGCCUUCUAGUCCUCAGAGGUGGUUAGGAUAUAAACAGAAAGCAUUGGGAGAUUUGUUUUUUAAAACCCCCAUGUUCACAGCUGACUCUGCUUUGUCAGGAGGCUGGACUGGAUGAUCUCCUUAGGCUCCUUCUAACCUGGCUUACUCCAUGAUCCUCUGAACCUGUUUGAGGUGAAAGCAGGGAGGAAAAAUCUUCAUUGUUAUGGCAGUUGCUGCUCGUGGGGCACACGUGAGGUGCACAGACCUGCUCCCCCACUGGACAAUGGACAAGCUGGUUUUCCUCAAAGCCAUGUGCCCAUCCUGGAGUCCAGCAUGCAGCAGGACACUUGUGUUGCUUGGGCAGAGCUGACCACAAGAGUGCACUCACGGAAUGAUGUCCUGCAUUGUUUCCUCUGGGUCAUUUCCUUUCCCUCAGCUCUGGAAGCAGCUUGCAGCAUGUGGAGGUCGGGGGGUCAGACCUGGGCCCACGUGUUGUUUCUCUGGACAUAUAGAUGCCGUGUCCCCCAGGGAGGAAGACGCUGCAGCUGUACAUUGAGUGGGACAUACUUGCAGGAUGAGUACACGGACACGUCACCAGGGACACACGCUGGGGGUACAUCUGAGUGGCACAGGCUUUGCCCACAGGCUGUGCUUGAUGUUGGUAAUGAUUUUCUUCCUUAUAAGGGAUGGCUAUACUUAAAGAGCAUGUCGGAGAUUCUCCCACAGUUUUGUCUUGCUAUAUAAUUGGGAUUUGGGGUUUUUUCCUUCCCUUUUUCCCCCUCCUAGUGCUUCUCAACUUCUUUCUGUGACCUUCUAACACCACAGAUCAUUUGUCAAGCAGCCAGUAAUGGCUACACAGAGGCCCAUUGUAGCACGCACUUGCAACAAUUUGUUAACAAUAAAUAUGAUGUGAUUAGUAAAUACCUCA
RNAcentral lists this long non-coding RNA (1351 nucleotides) under Zonotrichia albicollis (white-throated sparrow). RNAcentral's name for it is "lncRNA (ENSZALG00000001072.1)". Lineage: Eukaryota; Metazoa; Chordata; Aves; Passeriformes; Passerellidae. The record is from RNAcentral.